GCGUCCGUAGCUCAGUGGUAGAGCACAUGUCUUAUAAACAUGAGGUCCUUGGUUCGAUCCCAAGCGGACGCA
Molecule: non-coding RNA, 72 nt
Organism: Candidatus Gottesmanbacteria bacterium RBG_16_52_11
Lineage: Bacteria; Candidatus Gottesmaniibacteriota
Source: Rfam